Molecule: ribosomal RNA, 301 nt
Filed under: uncultured bacterium
Lineage: Bacteria
Description: partial 16S ribosomal RNA
Rfam family: Bacterial small subunit ribosomal RNA
Source: RNAcentral
CAGCCGCGGUAAUACGGAGGGUGCAAGCGUUAAUCGGAAUUACUGGGCGUAAAGCGCACGCAGGCGGUCUGUCAAGUCAGAUGUGAAAUCCCCGGGCUUAACCUGGGAACUGCAUUUGAAACUGGCAGGCUAGAGUCUUGUAGAGGGGGGUAGAAUUCCAGGUGUAGCGGUGAAAUGCGUAGAGAUCUGGAGGAAUACCGGUGGCGAAGGCGGCCCCCUGGACAAAGACUGACGCUCAGGUGCGAAAGCGUGGGGAGCAAACAGGAUUAGAUACCCGUGUAGUCCCUGUCUCUUAUACACC